AGGAAUACAUCGGAAUCUGCCUUGUUGUGGGGGAUAACGUAGGGAAACUUACGCUAAUACCGCAUAAGACCUCAGGGUGAAAGCGGAGGACCUUCGGGCUUCGCGCGACAAGAUGAGCCGAUGUCGGAUUAGCUAGUUGGCGGGGUAAUGGCCCACCAAGGCGACGAUCCGUAGCUGGUCUGAGAGGAUGAUCAGCCACACUGGAACUGAGACACGGUCCAG
This 222-nucleotide ribosomal RNA is filed under the name uncultured bacterium. RNAcentral's name for it is "partial 16S ribosomal RNA". It matches the Rfam family "Bacterial small subunit ribosomal RNA", at positions 109 to 334 of the family's 1533-position model. The record is from RNAcentral.